This is a long non-coding RNA of Loxodonta africana (African savanna elephant), 1320 nucleotides long. RefSeq lists it as uncharacterized. The transcript has 6 exons. Lineage: Eukaryota; Metazoa; Chordata; Mammalia; Proboscidea; Elephantidae. The record is from RefSeq and is a predicted model, not a curated record.
CACACACACACACACACACAGUGCUCUGCCACCUGCUUUGAGGAGGCUCCACCCUCACCAGCCCCUCCCUCCACUGCACUUAAAACAGCUAGCAUCACUUUGGGAGAAGAAACCUCAGCUGGGUUUUGUGCAGAUUGGACAGGGAGGAGACACAGAAGGUGUCUGUCUGGUGGAGGAGAAGGUGACUGUCCCAGUGGAGGUCUGGACUCCUCCAGGGGCAAGAUCAGGCUUGGUUGUGGGGACAUCACAGGGAGGGAGCUGAGGGCACUGAGGCCUGAGGAACUCCCCAGCAGGAGGGGAAGAGAAAGAGUCCUCACUCACUUUUCCUCACACCUGUCCCACCUCACCAGGCAUUGGCUUCUGCAACUCUGAGCAACCAUGGGCUACCCUGAGGGUGACCCUGUUGAAGAGUUAAGGACUCAAAUGCAUGAGGUUACAGACAUGAUUAUUAAUACACUCCAAAGUGAACCUUGGGGACACGAACAGCAGGUCCAGGCAGGCCUAGAACAAUUUGAGGCGUGGGUCUCCGUGUUGCUCAUCGAUCCUGCUGGUGUGGAGGGACUGCCUGAGAGCUCGGGAAGUGAGCACUCGGGCUGGUACCGCUUCCUGCCCUCAACUCAAGACAUCCAUGGAACCUGAGUGUGCCUGGUGCCAGGCCCAGAAUCCACUCUGAAACAGCCAGAUACCACCAAGGACUUGACUCCCUUAACUCCUGAAAUGAGGCGGAAGUUGGGUGAAAGGCAAAAGGAAUUACUUGGAUUUGAAAGGCAGUGUGAAUUACCUGAAACACAGGAGGAGUUACUUUCCAGAUCACAGAGCCCUGCUGGCCCCUCUGGGGACCAUGAGAGCUCUGGGAGCCAGGAUCACAAGAAGAGCCUUUGCGCCUGGGUACGGAGAAAGAUAAAGGAGAUCCUAAGGAGAACGCUAAGAGUGUGGCUAAAAAUAGUGGCCUGGUUAAAGGAGGUGACUGUGGUGAUCCAGACCUUGAAGAGAGCAGUGAAGGCUGUCUACAGCUUUCUAGCCGAUAUGGUACUCUGGCUCCCAGGAAUCUAGUGCCAGCCAGGAGCCUCCAGCUAUACCCAGGAGCCCUUGCAUUCCCACAGCGCUGGCCUUUGCCCCCUGCUAACUAUUGAUGACCCACCCUGGACAGCCCCGCUCAGUCCCUCCCUGCGCUGCCCAAGCCCUCCCGCCUGCCUGGCUUUCCUUCUCCAAGUCUCACUGGUCGCUCUGGUCCCAGGACCCAGCUCACAGCAGGUCUUAAUAAAAAUUGGUUGAAGCUGAGGAGUGGCUGUCAGAUUCUUCUCUGACAAAAGGGGUGGA